RNAcentral lists this long non-coding RNA (2753 nucleotides) under Equus asinus (donkey). RNAcentral describes it as "lncRNA (ENSEASG00005031586.1)". Lineage: Eukaryota; Metazoa; Chordata; Mammalia; Perissodactyla; Equidae. The record is from RNAcentral.
CGCGCCUCGGACCCGGGCGUUCGCACGUCUGUCAAAUCCAGCCAUUCUCCCAGCCUGGUUUCUCCAGCAGCAGUAACGUGCUGCUUUUGUAGGGAAACGUGGCCAUGUGUGUGUACAAUAUUGAGAUCCGUCUUGUAAGGGCAGAUGUGAAGACUGGUAAGAAGAAACACACAGUUCCUAAGGCAAAAAUGGGCUGUCGGUUUAAAUGCAGCUUCUUGCUUGCUACCAGACCUCACUAGAGACUGAAUGCUUGACAAUGGACCACCAGGUUACCAUGAGACCUGAGCUGUGCUUCAUGAACUGGGUGUGUGGUAUGACCCAUAAAGUUAGCCAUUAAAUUGGGCAUGUACAGCAACGCUCCGUUAUCAAAUGGAAGUGGUAUAUACAAGACUGGGCUCAAGAAGAUCCUGAAGACACAAGUAAGACGCAUGAGGAAGUGCCCCAGAUGCUCAUGGCCCUACUCCUGCAACAUUAUUUUUUCCCCCCGAAUUACCACUUAUGGCCUCAUGAGGAGUUCUUGUUGGCCAGUUGGCUGAGAAAGAAAAAAAUUCUGGUUUGCUUUCCAGAUAGUUUUGCAUGAUAUUCUGGUACCACCUGAAAGUGGGCAGCUAUAGCACUACAACCCCACUCCAAGAGGACCCUGAAGAACAGUGGAGAAGGGAAAGCCUCCCAAAGGGCUGAACCUAGAAGAGUGUAACUAGUUGUUUUGCCUGACUUUCAGAAAUGGCCAGUGAUAUGGGUCUAUACUGAUUCCUGGGGUACGGUUAAUGGUUUGGCUGUAUGGUCAGGAACUUAGAAAGAACAUGGCUGGGAAACUGGUGAUAAGGAGAUCUGAGAAAGAAGUAUUUGAAUAACUCUCUCAGAAUGGAAACAGAACAAAAAGAUACUUGUAUCCCAUGUGAGUGCUCUUCAGAGGGCAACCUCUGUAGAGGAGAAUUUUGGUCAGCUGGGUAGGAUGACCCAUUUUGUGGACGUCAGUCAGCCUGCUUCCCCAAUCACUCCUAUCAUUGCCUAACAGGCUCACAAACAAAGUGGCCAUCUCAGCAAGGAUGGGAAGUUAAACACAGGAUAAGAAACAUGGACUUCUACUCACCAAGACCAAUAUUGGCAAAGCCACUGCUGAGUGUCCAACCUGCGAAUAGCAGAAACCAACGUUGUGCACCUGAUAUAGAACCAUUCCCUAGGGGCAUCAGCCAGCUUCAUGUGCAGCUUGAUUCCACUGCACUUCUUUCAUCAUGGAACAGUCAGCACUUUGUUCUCACUGUAAUGGACACUUACUCCAGAUAUGGAUUUGCCUUUUUUCCCUCAACACUUCAGCCCAAACCACCAUUUAUGGACUUAAAAAUCCAGUUACUGUCAUUGUAUUCCAUACAGCAUUGCUUCUAAUCAAGGAGCUCAUUCCAGAGCAAAUGAAAUGUGGCAGUGGUUCCAUGCUCAUGGAAUUCCCUGGGCUUCCCAUGUUUCCCAUCAUGCUGAAGCAGCUGUCUUGAUAGAACAGUGGUAUGGCAUUUUUAAAACUCAGUUACAGUGCCAGCGAGGGGGCAGCACCAUGCAAUGCUGAGGCGAUGUGUUCCAAGUGCAGUAUAUGCUCUAACUCGGCAACCAAUAUUUGGUACUGUUUCUCCCUUAGCUGUGAUUUAUGGGUCUGGAAUUAAGGGUAGAAAUGGGAGUGGCUCCACUCACUAGCAAAAUUUGCUUUUCAUCUGCAUAACUUUAGACUCUGCUGGUUUAAAAGUCUUCGUUGUAAAAAGAGAAAGGUUUCCAAAAAGGAGACACAAUAAUGAUUCUAUUGGCCUGGAAGUUGAAAUUGCAACCUGACCACUUUGGGCUUCUCAUGCCAGUGAAUUAACAAGGAAAGAAGGGGAAUUCUGAACUGGCUGGGGUGAUUUAUCCUGACUAUAGAAGGAAAGUUGGGUUGCUACUACUCAGUGAGGGUAAAGAGGAGUAUGUCUAGAAUUCAGGAUAUCCCCUGGGGAGCCUCUUAGUCAUGCUUCCAGGCCCUAUGAUUAGAGUCAAUGGAAAACUACAAUUACCCAAUUCAGGCUGUACUGCUAAUGGCCCAGACUCUUCUGGAAUAAAGGUUUGGGUCACCAAAGGAAACACAGCCAGCUGAGGUGCUUGCUGAGGGCAAGGCAGAUAAUGAGUAGUAGAAAGUGGUAUAUCCAAGUUAUGAUCAUGUGACCAGUGCCAGAAAUGAGGGCUAAAGCAGUUAUGAGUAAUUCUUCUUUAUUUUUAUGUGAAUGUUUAUAGGUAUAUUAACCAAAAACUUGUUUUCUCCCCUCUCUGAUUCCCCUAUCAUCUCAAUAUUUAAAUUACAGUAUAUCAAAGGGAGAGUAUGAAUUAGCUCAAAGAAGAAUGAACAUCACCCAAAGACAAAAAAGAGAUUUCAUAGCCUCUUUUAGGAAAAUGGUUAGUGUGUUUUUAGUUGUAUAUGGGAUAGUUGUACUGUGUUAGAUAGAAGCUUGACUUUUCUGUUUUCUUCAUUUGGAAAUUAAGUGUGAUUUAAGGAGGUGUGUGUGUGCCAAGUUGACAGGUAAUCGACUGGGAAGGCUUUGUAAUGUAUCUAUUUGGUUAGGCUGAACUACAUCUCCCAUAAUUCCCUUCCCUGUAUGUUUCCAGUUAGAGGGUGCCCCAAGAGACAUUUUAGGGUGAGAUUAGGAGGCAAAAGUAGGACAGCAGCCACGUGAUUUUUUUCUGCUUGGAAGGUUAGGGAAGGGUCUCCAGUGCUUUUGUAGCUCAUGCACAGCGUUGUU